GUGCAAAAAUAUCAAAUAACAGGUUUGAACCAUUGCCAACUUCUUGGAGACAUAUUUUACCAAUAUCGGAUUUUCUCAUAUAUAUACCGACAUAUGAAAAGUCUAGAGAGACAAACAGAAUUUUAUGGUCCCACUUAAGAGUACUUUAUUGUUUUCUGAGACAUGGUCUAAUGAAUCAACAUCGUCUUGCUGUUGCAACUGAGACAUUGUUUCUUGGGUGUAAUUAUGCUACAUUAUUAUUGGAUGUUAGCAUUUGCAGAUGUAUUCAAUGAAUGUUUUCAUCAUAGUACUGUUAUCUUGGAAUCGUAUUAAUUAACGCUAUUUGUGUAUGAUAUUGGAAGCAAAAUAGAAAAGAUAUCUACGACGGAUUUUCAGAUGCAUCUUUUUUGGUGUCUACCAUUCAAGGGACAAAUAAAUAAUAUUCGAGAAGGAAAUCUUAAUAGCUUAUAAGAUAUAUACGAAAAUGUGGAAAAAGCACAAAUGACGCCAUAUCUAAAUGUAACAACUACAGAUAAGUACAAGGAAACGAAACAGUCGUUGCUAUGGUUACCAUACGUUAUCAUUACAGUUGUAUGUCUCGUAUUUCUGGCCAUUAACUUCUGGUGUUAUCACAGGAGAAGACGGUUGCAAUAUGAGAGAAAAUCAGAAGUACUUGAGACCAGGGAGCGUGUUAGGGAACGCCGAAUCAUCCUUAAUAUUGUCAAAGCAAAAUACAAGGCGUAUAUUGUAGAUGAUAAAGAAAAUAAUAUAGAAGAAAAGUCGUGUGUUGUUUAUUCAAAUUCUAUGCAAUUUACAUCUACUGGAGUCGCCAACGUGUGAUAAACGGAUGUAUAUUAUUGGAUAUUCAUUAUUUGAUAGUUUUAUGAAAUGGUUUAUGUUUAUUCAUAUGGAACAAAUGGAAAAUGAUUCUUAAUUUGUGUCUACGAAUCCUUUAGCUUUUAAGAAGAAAUAUAAUCAAAAUCAUUAAGAAAUAACUUGUAUAAUAAAAGAGCCUAUUCUUGACAGUAGAUUAACGAUAACUUACAUGAGCCCGCAGAACAAAUCUUGAUCACAAAAUGGGUUGGAGGUACGUGAAACUGUUAGCUUCUAAUUACAUAAACUACAACAAAGUCUAGCUUCCAUGCAGAAAUGAACUUUAUUGGUGUUAAACACUUUUCUAUUUCCAUACAUGAAAUAAUCUGAAUUGUAUCAUUUUUGAUAUCAAUAAAAAUUGAUAUUGAUCUGGAGGUAUUUCCCUUUAAGGUAUCCGAUCCACAAAUAAGUAAAUUUCGAUGCCUGGUAACACAAUGCUUUUGUAUCAUUUCAAAGAGUGUGUCUGCUGAACAAGAAUAAGUAAAUAAAAUGACCAUAAAUAAUAAGCAAGAGUCAUUACAGUCAUGUUUUUGACUGUGAAAUGAUAAAUCUUACACUGUAAUGAGAGGAAUUCUGUUGAAAUAUCAAUGAAGACUAAAUAGUGAAAGAAAAAAGAAAUUCAUAGAAUCAAUAUUUUCUUUUUCAGUAUGCAAUACACUUUCAAAUGAUACCAAAAUAUUAUGAGGUUACCAGGUAACAAUACUUGAUAUAUCUUAAUAAUAUUGUUAUAGAGACCUUGCUUAUUUGUGGAUCGGAUACCUUAAACAGCUAUGUAAUACAUAGAACAUUUCUAUAAAUAUUAUAAGACUUUUGUAGCUUUUGUAAGAGUUUGAAUACGUUUUUCAAUUAGCGGUAGAAAAUUUCAUUUAGAUAUACAUGUGAUUUAUUAUAUUCUAGCUUUAUCACGUUUUGGUGAACUAAAGACAAUUAAAAGAGAAGAAAAUAUCCGCCAAAAAGACCCUAGGAUGAACUUCUAGUAUUUCUUCAAGUAUACGAAACAAAAUCUACAAACUUAUGCAAUCAAUGUAAACUUUAUAAGUCAAGUCAAGUCAAGUCAAAUAGUUUAUUUAUAUAAGUGAUUAAUAUACAAAAAGUAUCAUACAUUUGGGCACUGUUCACUUUGUUAAAGAAUGUCAACAUGUCAACAACAUAAUUGAGCCGCGCCAUGAGAAAACCAACACAGUG
Molecule: long non-coding RNA, 2037 nt
Organism: Mercenaria mercenaria
Lineage: Eukaryota; Metazoa; Mollusca; Bivalvia; Venerida; Veneridae
Exons: 3
Source: RefSeq, a predicted model, not a curated record